RNAcentral lists this ribosomal RNA (677 nucleotides) under uncultured Curvibacter sp. RNAcentral describes it as "bacterial SSU rRNA". It matches the Rfam family "Bacterial small subunit ribosomal RNA", at positions 94 to 765 of the family's 1533-position model. Lineage: Bacteria; Pseudomonadati; Pseudomonadota; Betaproteobacteria; Burkholderiales; Comamonadaceae. The record is from RNAcentral.
AGUGGUGAACGGGUGAGUAAAGUAUCGGAACGUGCCCAGUCGUGGGGGAUAACGUAGCGAAAGUUACGCUAAUACCGCAUACGAUCUAUGGAUGAAAGCGGGGGAUCGCAAGACCUCGCGCGAUUGGAGCGGCCGAUAUCAAAUUAGGUAGUUGGUGGGGUAAAGGCUCACCAAGCCAACGAUCUGUAGCUGGUCUGAGAGGACGACCAGCCACACUGGGACUGAGACACGGCCCACACUCCUACGGGAGGCAGCAGUGGGGAAUUUUGGACAAUGGGCGCAAGCCUGAUCCAGCCAUGCCGCGUGCAGGAUGAAGGCCUUCGGGUUGUAAACUGCUUUUGUACGGAACGAAAAGGUUUGGCCUAAUAAGCUGAGCUCAUGACGGUACCGUAAGAAUAAGCACCGGCUAACUACGUGCCAGCAGCCGCGGUAAUACGUAGGGUGCGAGCGUUAAUCGGAAUUACUGGGCGUAAAGCGUGCGCAGGCGGUUAUGUAAGACAGAUGUGAAAUCCCCGCGCUCAACCUGGGAACUGCAUUAGUGACUGCAUAGCUGGAGUACGGCAGAGGGGGAUGGAAUUUCCGCGUGUAGCAGUGAAAUGCGUAGAUAUGCGGAGGAACACCGAUGGCGAACGCCAUCCCCUGGGCCCUGUACUGACGCUCAUGCACGAGAGCGUGGG